Long non-coding RNA from Cebus imitator (Panamanian white-faced capuchin), 714 nucleotides. RefSeq lists it as uncharacterized. The transcript has 2 exons. The record is from RefSeq and is a predicted model, not a curated record. NCBI's taxonomy places the organism in Eukaryota, Metazoa, Chordata, Mammalia, Primates, Cebidae.
CGUCAGAGGGCUAGUGUCCCGAGUGAGGCGGGGAGGGCGGGCGUCGCGUCAGGCCUGGGGAGCCCUGGGGGCUCUCCGCGAUCUUUCCCGGUUGUCCUUGACUGGAGCGCGUGGGAGCCCCCUCUGCGGGGCUUGCAGAAGUAGCAGUCCGAGGUCCCCAGGAUGCUCAGCAUCCGCGAUCUAGGAGAACGGCUGGAAAGUGCUUACUUUUAUGGUGGUUCCAAAUCCAGCGGGUUUUGUGGUGAUAGCUGUAUGUAGUUCCUUUUCUACCCUUGAGCAGAAGCUUAGAAGUGUAACUUUGCAAAGAAAAUUGGAUGCAGCACCUUGAAAUAGAACGGAGAGCCAGGUUAAACCUGACUUUGAGCUUCCUCUACUUUUAUUAGGUAGCUGUGCUUUUAAGACUUACUUUGGUCCCUGGGAAAAGGGGUGAUGCAGAUGUUAAUUCUUUAAUUUUGAUUUGAAUAAACUGUCUCCCAAUUCUACCCUGUAAAAUAUCAGGAUUGGCAAACCUGCUUAAAACCUGGAAGAAAUGCAUAAAAUGGAAAUUGGAAUCUAAUUAAAUUUCAGCAUUGAGGAAUUAGGCAUGGCUUUUACAUUUUGAAGUGUAUACACUGUGAAACUCAUUUUCAGAUGUUUGGGGAACCCUUCUGUUCCCUUGAAAUUUGAUGUAGGAUUUCAAGUAAAUUUUAUUUCUUUUAUUUUUAUUUUUUUUUU